GGAGAGAUGGCCGAGUAGGUCGAAGGCGGUCGCCUGCUAAGCGAUUAUACGGGCUAAAACUCGUAUCGAGCACUCAUUGAGCUUUUUUA
This 89-nucleotide transfer RNA is filed under the name Desulfoscipio gibsoniae DSM 7213. Its description in RNAcentral is "tRNA-Ser (GCT) (tRNA-Ser-GCT-2-1)". The record is from RNAcentral. Lineage: Bacteria; Bacillati; Bacillota; Clostridia; Eubacteriales; Desulfallaceae.